GCCUUUGUGGUGGAAUGGUAGACACACCAGACUUAAAAUCUGGAGGCAUUUUGUCCAUAUGGGUUCAAGUCCCAUCAAAGGUA
This 83-nucleotide transfer RNA is filed under the name Suberites domuncula. RNAcentral describes it as "transfer RNA-Leu (uaa)". It matches the Rfam family "tRNA". Rfam says of the family: Transfer RNA (tRNA) molecules are approximately 80 nucleotides in length. Their secondary structure includes four short double-helical elements and three loops (D, anti-codon, and T loops). Further hydrogen bonds mediate the characteristic L-shaped molecular structure. tRNAs have two regions of fundamental functional importance: the anti-codon, which is responsible for specific mRNA codon recognition, and the 3' end, to which the tRNAs corresponding amino acid is attached (by aminoacyl-tRNA synthetases). tRNAs cope with the degeneracy of the genetic code in two manners: having more than one tRNA (with a specific anti-codon) for a particular amino acid; and 'wobble' base-pairing, i.e. permitting non-standard base-pairing at the 3rd anti-codon position. Lineage: Eukaryota; Metazoa; Porifera; Demospongiae; Suberitida; Suberitidae. The record is from RNAcentral.